CGGGGUAUAGUGUAGCGGAUAUCAUGGCAGACUGCGAUGUUGCCAACCCGGGUUCGAAUCCCGGUACCCCGGCCA
This 75-nucleotide transfer RNA is filed under the name Candidatus Poseidoniales archaeon. Its description in RNAcentral is "Marine Group II euryarchaeote (marine metagenome) tRNA-Arg". It matches the Rfam family "tRNA". Rfam says of the family: Transfer RNA (tRNA) molecules are approximately 80 nucleotides in length. Their secondary structure includes four short double-helical elements and three loops (D, anti-codon, and T loops). Lineage: Archaea; Methanobacteriati; Thermoplasmatota; Candidatus Poseidoniia; Candidatus Poseidoniales. The record is from RNAcentral. RNAcentral also lists the same sequence under 1 other name.